AACAAUUCGUACAACUUCUUCCAAUUAAUCUAUAAUUACAUAACAUCGAUCUCAUGUUAAUUUCCUUGUUUUAGAUAAAUCAUAGCUAAUUUUGAAUACCCAACCCUUGAAUUUCAUGUUUGACUCUUAACUUGUCAAUUUAUACUUACUCACGCUACUGGCAUUUGAGAAUACUUCGAAACUUAUUAAAUACAACACAUUCAUAUGAUAUAGACAGUUAAUUCAUGGAAAAGUCUCAUGAAUUUCUCCAAAUUUUCUCAGCUUUAUCUUUCAAAUUCUUAACCUAAUUCAAAAAUUAUAUCUAUUCAGGCUUAUCAGAAUUAUGUAUAUAAAAUUUCAUUGUCGUAAAAGAGGAAUAAAUAAAUGUAACUACCUGGAGUGUAUUGCUAAAAUCCAAGGAGUUAUAUACCAAAGAUUAGAUGAAUCACGAUCCGGUGCUAUAGAAACUUCUGAGACUCUCUUUCUUCUAUUUUUCUCGUUCGAUGCUUUCUUCCUUUCCUUCUAGGGAUAUUUUUUUUCUUUUUUUGAAACUCGUUGCUUCUGUCUGCGUUUCUCCUUCCCCUAAUCCCUUUCAAUUUGCAAGAUGAUGUUUGC
Molecule: long non-coding RNA, 594 nt
Filed under: Nicotiana benthamiana
Lineage: Eukaryota; Viridiplantae; Streptophyta; Magnoliopsida; Solanales; Solanaceae
Description: long non-coding RNA (NBEN_LNC029833)
Source: RNAcentral